RNAcentral lists this ribosomal RNA (250 nucleotides) under uncultured bacterium. RNAcentral describes it as "partial 16S ribosomal RNA". It matches the Rfam family "Bacterial small subunit ribosomal RNA", at positions 525 to 775 of the family's 1533-position model. The record is from RNAcentral.
ACGUAGGUGGCAAGCGUUGUCCGGAAUUACUGGGUGUAAAGGGAGCGUAGGCGGGAAGACAAGUUGAAUGUUUAAACUAUCGGCUUAACCGGUAGUCGCGUUCAAAACUGUUUUUCUUGAGUGAAGUAGAGGCAGGCGGAAUUCCUAGUGUAGCGGUGAAAUGCGUAGAUAUUAGGAGGAACACCAGUGGCGAAGGCGGCCUGCUGGGCUUUAACUGACGCUGAGGCUCGAAAGCGUGGGUAGCAAACAG